CAAGGCUCGCUUCGGCGGGUC
This 21-nucleotide small nuclear RNA is filed under the name Arabidopsis thaliana (thale cress). Its description in RNAcentral is "snRNA_12892". Lineage: Eukaryota; Viridiplantae; Streptophyta; Magnoliopsida; Brassicales; Brassicaceae. The record is from RNAcentral.